GACGAACCGUGCAAACGUUGUUCGGAAUCACUGGGCUUAAAGGGCGCGUAGGCGGGUGGUCAAGUCAGGGGUGAAAUCCUCCAGCUUAACUGGAGAACAGCUUUUGAUACUGGCCAUCUUGAGUGGGGUAGGGGCAUGUGGAACUUCCGGUGGAGCGGUGAAAUGCGUAGAUAUCGGAAGGAACGCCGAUGGCGAAAGCAACGUGCUGGACCCUUUCUGACGCUGAGGCGCGAAAGCCAGGGGAGCAAACGG
RNAcentral lists this ribosomal RNA (252 nucleotides) under uncultured bacterium. Its description in RNAcentral is "partial 16S ribosomal RNA". It matches the Rfam family "Bacterial small subunit ribosomal RNA", at positions 524 to 775 of the family's 1533-position model. The record is from RNAcentral.